RNAcentral lists this ribosomal RNA (281 nucleotides) under uncultured bacterium. Its description in RNAcentral is "partial 16S ribosomal RNA". It matches the Rfam family "Bacterial small subunit ribosomal RNA", at positions 28 to 334 of the family's 1533-position model. The record is from RNAcentral.
GAUGAACGCUGGCGGUAUGCCUUACACAUGCAAGUCGUACGAGAGUUUUUAACUCAAGUGGCGGACGGGUGAGUAACACGUGAGAAUUUGCCUUCAGGAGGGGGACACCAACUGGAAACGGUUGCUAAUACCCCAUAUGCUUUCGAGUGAAAUGGAUUUAUUCGCCUGAAGAGAAGCUCGCGGCUGAUUAGCUUGUUGGUGGGGUAAGAGCCUACCAAGGCGACGAUCAGUAUCUGGUUUGAGAGGACGAUCAGACACACUGGAACUGAGACACGGUCCAG